CUGAGCUCUGCCUCUGGGCUGUACCAGGCUGGCAGCUCUCUGCUUGUGGACUGAGUUCAGGUGGCAUGUAAAAGAGACCACACUUUUCAUUUGCAAGCUAAAUUAGCCCAUGAAGUUGGGUCUUCAGUUACAUGUAAAUGGUAGUAAGGCUUUAGACAAAAAGCAUUGUCUAUACAUUGACAUCCUUUCCCAAACUGUCAGUGACUUUGUUCAGUUGCACAUUACCCUUGUUCUGCGUAUCUCUGGUACAGGACGCAGAUUUGGAGCGUGUGACGCUGCGUGGUCCUGAAAUGUGUAAAUUCAGCCGUCACGCUCAGAGAUGCUGAGCCAGAUGCAAAUUGCAGGCUCAGGUUGGCAUCAAGUCCACCAUCACCUUCAAAUUUUUUUAAACUUUAUGCUACUUUUUCACUGCAUACAGCAAGUAUCCCCUUUUUCUCCAAGUAGUCUCACUGAUACAGGCUCAGUCUUACAAGUCUUCUGCUCUAAUCUAGAAGAGGGUGUGUUUUCCUGUGUGGUGUAUGUUAGCGUUGUCACAGGCAUUACAUAGAGAUACCUUACACAUCUUUUGAAAGUUUCCUCGCAAGUUGUCAAUGUUGGUGGAUGUCCACAGUGCUUUCCAAUGGUUCACAAUUAAUGUUUAGUGUAAUCAGUCUCGCACGUAUCUUUAAUAAAAUGCCUCAGACUGGAUGGUUAUUCACUGCCAGCAUACAUUUGAAAACGUGCAUUUAGAAAGGCAAGUGCUUUUGCACACGGCAGUUCUCUGGUCGUUUGUGAGACCCUGCUCGUGCCCGCAGUGCCGAGGAGUCGUGCCUGUGAUGCUUUGCUGGUGUGAGGUUUCUGCGUUUCAGCAUGUGCAACAGGAUUUCCCACAUCUGCAAACUUGGCCCAAGCAAUCCAGCAAAGCAGAAUUUAGCCUUGGAGAAUGAAAGCUGAUUUACCCCCAGGCUUGGAGCAUACCAAGAAUGAAGAGAGGUACUUGCACACAAAUCAAUACUACUUUUCAAGAAGAUAUGCAGGACGUGGUUUCGGGAUUUUUUUCCCAUCUCUUCAUUCUGUCCAAUAUGUUAAGUAGCUCGUUUGUUACUCUAACCCCCUACAAAUGAUUGUCAGUAAUAAUUCUGUAAAACUAUGAAUCAACUCUGCAUGACUUUGUGCAAAUAGACUGAGUAAUUUCUUUGUUCUUUUCUUCUUACUUUGUAAUUGGAGUCUGUAAAAGCCCAAAGGUUUGGUCUUGUGGAAAGUAUGAUUCAUUUAUUGGUGUCUGUGCCGACUAGUUAUCUUUCAGUAAUUCCAGAGUGCUGCUACAAGCCAAGAGUGAUUCAUACAUGGCUAAGUGCACAAACAAAUGGGGUCAUGGCCAUCUGCAGAAACUUUUCUAGUCUAUUUAUGGUAUCGGAGAAAGAAGUGGGUGUAUUAAGGAUGAUGGAAUAGGUGUCAAUUACAUUAGUGAAUAUAACCGGUUAAGUAACGCUAACCAUUACUCAAAGCCACAUCUGCUCAUUGCUGGAGAUCACAACAGUAAGUCCUAUUUAAGUGUUAACGUAGGGCUGAUAUACGAGAGAUGGAUUGUGUCUAGCUUGCCUCCUAAGGAGCUUGCCAUGCUAAGUGCUGUGAUAGUCUCUUUUACCUUGACAUGUAGAUGUUAACUUAACAACUUGAGUAGUUGUAGUAGCAAAGUUGGCUCUUUACUGUUGCAGAUCUCAGUCAUUAUAUGCUUUAUGUGCAGAAUUUGGACUAAUAAUUAAUGAACUUGUUGUUAGUGGUCAGUGGUAGGGUUUCGCUUUUGCACACCACACAGAAUGGCUGUGCAACAUCUUAGCAGACAGUGGUGGUCAGGUGAAUCAGUUUUCCUUCCAAAUGCAUCUUCAGUGCUUUAAAAUCUCAGCAGGAAGACAAGCUGCAUCUCUACGAGGUAGCCUGCCUCUUCUGUCCCAUUUCAUUGAUUGGGAGAAUUAAUUUUCCCCUUUGUAACUCUGGUAACAAACCAGCCCUGUGUGCAGCCACAUGGGGAUUGCUGUGUACAGUCUGCUUCCACCGUGCUCACAAGUGAAGGAGCUGGGCGCCAGGGCAGGCACUUGGGUGCCUGAGUUGAUCGUGUGAAUGGAGUUUGAGACUAGUGAUAGAAAAUACUGGGGGCAAGAAGCACUCCUGAGGUGUAUGGAUGAGGGCAGCUGGGGGGCUCACUCCAGACCCCUUCCUCACCCUGCCUGCUCUUCAGUCCUGUGUGCUGCUGCUGGUUUUGCACCUGAGAUGUGUAUCCAACAGCAUCUUGCACUUGCAGAGCAUGUGGUGGUCUCACAGUGCUUUACAAACAUCCCACAUCCACAGAACGGAUGAGCGUUACUGCAGAGGCGAGCUGGAGGCACGGGUGGACCGGUGCUGUGAGGUUUGGAAGUGGCUGUGGCCCCAUUCCCUGAGCCCUGAGAGAUCUGUGUGGUCACUGCUCGGUUGUGUUUGAUUUCAGAGGACUUGACUGGAGCACAGAGCUCAUGGACUCAAAUUUCUGUAAAUUGAAUUUAAGCUUCGGCGCUCGCCAAAAAUAUGGAGUAAUUUGGCAAUGUUGCUGUUGUCCUUUUACUGACGUUUUGAACACGGUGACCGUUUCUGCUGCACCCUCACUGCAUGUGCUCUCACAGAAGGAGACACGGCCCUGGCUGAUAUGCCAAGUAUGCUGCGGAGGGGGAAGUGACCCAGACUUUUGCCCAAAGGACUGAUGAGCCUCUCCUGAUGUCUGAGCAGCUUUCUUCUUCUGCCCUUGCUUUAUUUAAGUCAACAGAUUGUGUAAGCCACAUGCUAGAUUUACCUGCAGGGCAAGUGGGGAUGGAAGCAGUGCCAUUUGGAUGGAUUCCCAAAAGACAUCUAACCGCUCAGCGUUAAGACUAACAUUUCCAAGCCUGAGUCCUUACAACAGUCCUCCGGAUUGUGCUCACCGCCUCCUCCAUCCGUGUGCUGAGGACGAGUCCCAGGGAAGCUGCCUGCUGCGGGUUGGGCUCUGUACUGAGCGAGCUUGGAAAUUCUACCCUUUAGUGGUUUCUGUUUAAUAUUGUCAUUAAUACUGUUAUCAAGAAAUGCCCCCAAAGUGAAGCUGUGCCCGAGCCUUCCGUACCCUCCCGUUUCCCGCAGUGCUGGGGGCACUGGCUGCCCAUUAGAGCACAGGGAUGAAAGCCACAGCUCAGCAGCUUCAGUGACCCAGCGUUGGGCUUGUUCUUGGUGCACGCUCCAGACUUGAAACCAGGCUGGAUUUCCUUGUGCUCUUCACAAGUAUCAGUGCAAUAAGACUCAGUUCCUCAAGAGUGGGAGAGUUUUCCCCGCGCUGGCCUGGCUGCAAGGGCUUGGCUUCAUUAAAGCGGAUGUCUGUGCUGCUUUCCUGGAGGGCAGGUCCUGCUCCUUCUGUGGUUUUUUUCCUUCCUUCCACCAUUAUUCCAUCUUACCAAGGGUGGACUCUUCACUUCAGUAACUUGGAACAGCAUAUAUAGGUUAGGCUUAUCACUGAGCUUUGAAAAUUCCUUGGCCUCCUAGGUGCUGCCUUUGGGACAUGUAAGGAACAACAUGAUUAUGGACACUUGCUUCACACAAUUCUGAGUAAAAUUACCUUAAAUUGUAAUAAUUUCCAUUAUAAUAAAUAGGAAUCUCACUGUUACAGUUACACUUGUAUUAUUGCAGUCAGACUCUGCUUGAAUUGGAAGAUGCAUUUUUGAGUUCAGCGUCUCCCUCUCCAGCGUGCACAGACACACACACGAGGUGUGUAACACUUAAUAAUG
This is a long non-coding RNA of Strigops habroptila (Kakapo), 3761 nucleotides long. RefSeq lists it as uncharacterized. The transcript has 3 exons. Lineage: Eukaryota; Metazoa; Chordata; Aves; Psittaciformes; Psittacidae. The record is from RefSeq and is a predicted model, not a curated record.